RNAcentral lists this ribosomal RNA (434 nucleotides) under uncultured Lachnospiraceae bacterium. RNAcentral describes it as "partial 16S ribosomal RNA". It matches the Rfam family "Bacterial small subunit ribosomal RNA", at positions 341 to 792 of the family's 1533-position model. Lineage: Bacteria; Bacillati; Bacillota; Clostridia; Lachnospirales; Lachnospiraceae. The record is from RNAcentral.
ACGGAAGGCAGCAGUGGGGAAUAUUGGACAAUGGGGGAAACCCUGAUCCAGCGACGCCGCGUGAGUGAAGAAGUAUUUCGGUAUGUAAAGCUCUAUCAGCAAGGAAGAAAAUGACGGUACUUGACUAAGAAGCUCCGGCUAAAUACGUGCCAGCAGCCGCGGUAAUACGUCUGGAGCAAGCGUUAUCCGGAUUUACUGGGUGUAAAGGGAGCGUAGACGGCAAAGCAAGUCUGAAGUGAAAUCCCGGGGCUCAACCCCGGAACUGCUUUGGAAACUGUUUAGCUAGAGUGCAGGAGAGGUAAGCGGAAUUCCUAGUGUAGCGGUGAAAUGCGUAGAUAUUAGGAGGAACACCAGUGGCGAAGGCGGCUUACUGGACUGUAACUGACGUUGAGGCUCGAAAGCGUGGGGAGCAAACAGGAUUAGAUACCCUGGUA